UAAUGCCAGUGGUGGAUGCCUUGGCAGAAAGAACCGAGGAAGGACGCGUCUACGACCGCGAUAACGACGGGUUGGUGUCUAUGAACCAUUAGCCGUCGGUUUCCGAAUGGGGUAACCCACUCCGUAAGGAGGGCUACUAUUUGAAGGCCUCGCAAGAGGGGAUAGGGUAGUAUGCGGGCACGUGCUGAACUGAAACAUCUAAGUAAGCACAGGAAAAGAAAAUAAUAAUGAUUCCCGUAGUAGCGGCGAGCGAACUGGGAAGAGGCUAAACUGCUUGUGCUCUGCACAAGGAAAUUCGAAAUCCGAAAUACGAAAUCCGAAACAAAUUCAAAUUUUUUAAAUCCAAAUUUUCUAAACAAGUCUGUUUUGAAUUUUAACAUUUAAAUUUUGGACAUUGUUUCGAGUUUCGAAAUUCGUGCUUUGGAUUUUCUCGCGCAGGGCGCGAGUGGGGUUGAGGGACUAGAAUGUGGUAUUGAUUGUUGAUAGGAGAACAGGCUGGAAAGCCUAACCAAAGAAAGUGAUAGUCUUGUAUCCGAAAUUGACAGUCAGCCUACUAGUAUCCCAAGUAUCAUGGGGCACGACACCCUGUGAGAAUCAGUGACGUCCAGCGUCAUAAGCCUAAACAUUCUUUCUGACCGAUAGCGAACUAGUACCGUGAGGGAAAGGUGAAAAGUACCCCGGAAGGGGAGUGAAAUAGUAACUGAAACCAUUGGCUAACAAACAGACGGAGUCCCGUUAGAAUUGUGGUUAUAAAGUUGAUCGUAUUGAGUUUGGCAACCAAGCCUCUCGAUACGGCCUCGGUUGUAACCAGAAUUCUAACGGGAUGACGUCGUGCCUAUUGAAGAAUGAACCGGUGAGUUGCUCUAAUACUGUGUUAACUUAAGCCACUUUGUGGCGGAAGUGAAGCGAAAGCGAGGUUUAAAUGACCGAAACUAGUAGUAUUAGGCAGACCCGAAGCCCGGUGAGCUAACCUUGAGCAGGGUGAAAGCCGAUGAAAAUCGGCUGGAGGCCCGAACUCGUUGUCGUUACAAGGACAUGGGAUGACUUGAGGUUAGAGGUUAUAUGCCUACCGAACCGGGGGAUAGCUGGUUCUCCCCGAAAUAUAUAUAGGUAUAGCCCCUGAAGAACUACUUUUUGCAGGUAGAGCACUGGAUGGUCCUGGUUGCGCAAGCUGUCAGGUCUAACCAAACUCCGAAUGGCAGAAAGUUUAUGCAGGGAGUCAGAAAGCGACGGCUAAGCGCCGUUUUCUAAAGGGAAACAGCCCAGACUCAAAGCUAAGGUCCCAAAGUCAGAUCUAAGUUAAAGGAUGUCAGAUCUUUAAGACACCCAGGAAGUUGGCUUAGAAGCAGCCAUCUUUUAAAGAAAGCGUAACAGCUCACUGGAAUAAAGGUCAGGCGCCGAAGAUGAUCGGGAAUUAAGAUCUGCACCGAAGCUUGAGAUCUUGUGCUCUGCACAAGGAAAUUCGAAAUCCGAAAUACGAAAUCCGAAACAAAUUCAAAUUUUUUAAAUCCAAAUUUUCUAAACAAGUCUGUUUUGAAUUUUAACAUUUAAAUUUUGGACAUUGUUUCGAGUUUCGAAAUUCGUGCUUUGGAUUUUCUCGCGCAGGGCGCGAGAUGGUAGGGGAGCGUUCUGUUCUAGGUUGAAGUCCGCCCGUAAGGGCGAGAUGGACGACGCAGAAGUGAGAAUGCCGGUAUGAGUAGCGUUAAAUCCCGGUGAGAGACCGGGACGCCGAAAGUCCAAGGUUUCCUCGGCAAUGUUAAUCAGCCGGGGGUGAGUCGGCCCUAAGCGUGAGCCAUUUGGCAUAGCGCGAUGGAUAACGGGUUAUUAUUCCCGUACAGUAGAUUGAUCGUUACAACUUAAGGGAGGACGAAGUGGAGAUAUCCUGGCCUGCGCAGUGAACAUCGUGGGCAAAAGUUCCGAAAUAGUGAUGAGUGGUAAACCCCUCAACAUGAUUAAUCGAGGAACGAUGUCGAUCCAAAAAGAAAUUUAGGAGAGUAGGAGAGUCUUCGUUUUCAAGAAAAUUCUCGUGAGGAGAUCAGUUUACUUCCGUACCAACAACCAACACAGGUGGACUGGUCGAGAAGACCAAGGCGAUCGGAAGAACUAUGCUUAAGGAACUCGGCAAAGCAGCUCGGCGUAACUUAGGGAGAUGCCGUGCCUUGUGCCUUGCACAAGGAAAUUCGAAAUCCUAAAUCCGAAAUUCGAAACGAUUUGAAAAUUUAAAUUUUGAUAAUUUGAAUUUGUUUCGGAUUUCGAUAUUCGGAUUUUCUCGCGCAGGGCGCGAGGCCGCAGCGAGUGAUUGCUAUGCAACUGUUUAACUAAAACACAGCUCUCUGCAAAGCCGAAAGGCAACGUAUAGGGGGUGACACCUGCCCAGUGCUGGUAGAUUAACGGUGGUGGUGACUGUCGCAAGAUGGAGGCCAUUGCCCGAAGUCCCAGUGAACGGCAGCAGUAACUAUAACUGUUCUAUGGUUCCGCCUGAAAGAAGGCGUAGCUGCCAUAGUGAGGUAUUCAAACCUCUUCUCGGUACCGAUCGCAAUCGAGUACCGGAAAAAACUUGACUAUAUGCUGGAAAGCCCGGAAGAAUCAGCAGUACUUGACCUAUAGCGAUAUAAUUAAGGUUGAGUGACAAUUUGCUGUGGAUGAGUGAUCAGCAGGAAAGGUUGGGUAAGAAAGUGACAGAAGAAGAGAAACAACAAAUUUAUGCAGCGCUAGGGGUUCACCCGGAUAAUGUUGGGGAAUCUCCUGGGCCGCCAGUGCGAAGAAAACGGCCUGAGGAAGAAGAAGCGAAGAGUGGGGGAGGGAAAGGGGAGAGAAAGAGAAGCGAUGGAAGUGUGCAUGACUUGGUAAAUGAUUUACUGAAGGACGUCACUUUAUAACCCAGAAAUCCUCAGAGACUAUACGUCAAGAUGAUGCACCGACUGGUGCGUUAAAGAUAUAGUCCAAACUUCAAAAUGGAAUUUGAAGAUUUUUGAGCGAAGUUCCUUGUCGGGUAAGUUCCGACCCGCACGAAAGGUAGAAUGACAUAGCGACUGUCUUGAGCAUAGGUCCGGCGAAAUUGAAAUGGCUGUGAAGAUGCGGCCUAGACAUACUUGGACAAAAAGACCCCGUGGAGCUUUACUGCAACUUGGCACUGUUGAGCUUAUUUUCAUUGUCUAGCAAUAGGUGGGACCCCGGCACUUUACGUGCCGCGGGGACAAUGUAAGACCACUCUUGAGAAUGAGGGAGACUAACUCUUGUCCCGUUAAAAAGUCGGGAAGAGGACAAUGUCUGGCGGGCAGUUUAACUGGGGAGGUUGACUCCUAAAUUGUAACGGAGUCGUACAAAGGUCUGCUAGUUCCGGAUGGAAAUCGGAAUGAUAGCGCAAACGCACAAGCAGGCUUGACUGCGAGACCUACAAGUCGAGCAGAGACGAAAGUCGGUGUUAGUGAUCUGGCUACUUGCUUACUGGUAAGCAGAGAGCUUAACGGAUAAAAGCUACCCCGGGGAUAACAGGCUGAUCGCCACCAAGAGUCCAUAUCGACGUGGCGGUUUGGCACCUCGAUGUCGGCUAUGCGCAAUGUGCGCAGGGGCCACUUAGCGAGCAAUUGCUAAGAAAAAAUAUUUAGCUCAUAACGGUGGAAUCCUCUGUAUACAUUCUCCUAGCUUUUUGCUAGAUUUUGUACAUGGACAAUACCGUGGGAAGUCGAGGAGUUUUGUCACAAAGACAAAGGGAAAUUUUAAUUGGUACACUUCUGGGAGAUGCACAUCUCGAGAAAAAUGGCCAAUAUAGUCGUCUGCGUGUUGAUCACUACGAGAAACACAAAGAUUACAUUUAUUGGCUGGCAAAUGAAUUUUUGCCAUUUUCUUUAGAGCCGAGACAGGUUUUUGAUUUCGACAAAAGAAAUAGCAAAACUUACUCUCGGUGGCAUUUUUCCACCAGAAGUUUACCCAUUUUUGAUGAGUUUAGAGAAAUGUUUUAUCUUAAUGGUAAAAAAAUUGUUCCAAAAUCAAUCUCUAAACUUUUAACUCCACUGUCUUUGGCGAUUUGGUAUAUGGAUGAUGGAUUUAGGAGGAAAGAUUCUAAGGGAUUUUAUCUUUGCACGUCAUCAUAUGCUUUGGAAGAACAGAAUGUAUUGCAAACCGUGUUGGAAGAUAGUUUUGGUUUGAGAACUAGAAUUCAUCACCAACACGAAUUGAUGAGAAUUUUUAUUCCUUCAGCAUUUGCAGAUCGGUUUAGUUCAACGAUUAAGCCAUUUGUUCUUCCUAUAUUUUCGUACAAACUACUCCUUUGACCCCGUAACGACUGCGUCCGAUGUAGCAUCGGACCGAUCCCGAUUAAAUCGGGAUAACAGGCUGAACAUCCCGCCAGGGGCGGGAUGAUGGUAUAGUCUAACCCUUAUGGAAACAUAAGAUAAGUUGCAUCGCAUCCUGGGGGUGGAGAAGCUCCCAAGGGUCCGGCUGUUCGCCGGUUAAAGCGGUACGCGAGCUGGGUUCAGAGCGUCGUAAGACAGCUCGGCCUCUAUCCAGUAUGUCCGGAGGAAUUUUGAGGGGAGUCCUUUUCAGUAAAUUUUUGCUGCUUUCCCACGUGAGUGGGAUUGUAAUAAUUGGCUGAUAACGGUGAAAUCCCGCACUUUUAAGUUUGGAUAUAUUGUAAAGUAAUAUGUCCACUUGGAGGUUAGUCUAUACUCGAGUAUCAUGAAAAUGAUAAAAGUACGGGACAAUACCGUGGGAAGUCGAUCUCAAACUGACUUGGCUUAUAUUGCAGGAUUCCUUGAUGGUGAUGGAAGCCUGAUGAUUCAGAUUAAGAAACGGGCAGGGAAGCUCGAAAGUGGGCGGUCCCGCUUUAUGUUGACGAUCUGUUUCUAUCAGGACACGCGCCAUGAGGAACCUUUGCAUUUAAUCCGUGAGAUUCUUGGAAUUGGAUAUGUUUCCAGAAGAAGUGAUGGCAUGUCCGAACUGAGAGUGAAUGGAUUUAGGCAAGUCAAAGAAGUUCUUUUAAUGCUUUUGCCAUACAUAAAGUUUAAAAAGAAACAGGCAAAUGCAAUAAUUCACGCAGCAGAAUUGCUUUCAGCUCUAGGCAGAGGUGAGCAAGUUCUUCGUGAUUUAGUUGAGAUAAUCCUUCUUGUGCAGAGCGAAAACUAUGUUACAAGAAAGAAAAGGUCUCGUGAGGAGCUUCAAACAGUUUUAGGUUUGACCCCGUAACGACUUGACUCUGCACCUUAUGGUGUGGGGCUUAGCGAGAUAAUAGUCUUGCUAAAACGCCAAGACCUCACUUUUUAGAUAAAAGUGUGGUCAAGAUAUAGUCUGAGCACAUAGUGAUAUGUGAUAACUUGACGAGAGGACCAAAAGGAACGAAUCCCUGGUGUGCCAGUUGUUCCGUCAGGAGCACCGCUGGGUAGCCACAUUCGGAAUGGAUAAGCGCUGAAAGCAUAUAAGCGCCAAGCCAACCCCAAGAUUAGAAUUCCAAGCCACGCAAGUGGCGAGAGAUGCCUGGAAGACUACCAGGUU
Molecule: ribosomal RNA, 5490 nt
Filed under: Candidatus Gottesmanbacteria bacterium RIFCSPHIGHO2_01_FULL_47_48
Lineage: Bacteria; Candidatus Gottesmaniibacteriota
Description: 23S ribosomal RNA
Rfam family: Bacterial large subunit ribosomal RNA (bases 1-3584)
Source: RNAcentral